Long non-coding RNA from Ostrea edulis (European flat oyster), 4857 nucleotides. RefSeq lists it as uncharacterized. Lineage: Eukaryota; Metazoa; Mollusca; Bivalvia; Ostreida; Ostreidae. The record is from RefSeq and is a predicted model, not a curated record. The transcript is spliced from 3 exons.
UGGAGUUCACCUGAAUCAACAUGGAUACUACAAACUCAUUAGACAACUCCGGGGAAUUCUUUCUCAUCACCGCAUUAGUCAAUGUUAACUGUUUUGCUUAGCUUUUGAUCAUCCAAAGUGCUGUAGUUUCCACAUAGGGCAUUGUUUGAAUUUUUGGCUCAGAACAGCAUGGCUUCCAGACCCAAAAGGAAAAGACAAUCAAAUGAUCCACGCACUAAGAGGCCAACAACCAUUUCAACACAAGGGACGUCACUAUCAAGAAGUCAAGUUGAAGGUAUGGUCAAGGCAUGCGUGGCAGCGAUUAUGCCCAUACACUUUAACUGAGAAAACAUGUCGGGAGGUCUUAUCGAGACAGACCACAGUGUCCUCUGCAGCCACAGGUACCGCACCCACACCAACAGCGGAAGAGACAACAAGUGGGCCACAACCUUCCCAAUCGUUGCUACAAGAUAUCACAGGUAUCUCUUCAUCGUUAGAACCAAGUAGUGUUUCCCAUUCAAAACAAACAUCUGCUACUUUACUUACUCUUGGUGUAGAUAACAAAACUUGGGCCAAAAUUCAUGCUGGGGAGUUUAAGUUUUCAUCUCUGUUGCCCUCAGACUCGCGCUCACCAGCCAAUAACAAUUACACUUCAGUAGAUCAAGAUGGACAGCUCAGCUAAUUUUUCUCCAAUCAAAUGAGAACGACCCGAUAUUCAAAAUGGACUGAAGCAUAUCAAGUUUUUGUGGCCAUAUUAGCAGAAAAAUUCCCUCAUGAAAUAGGCAAUCUAAUGGUGUAUGCCCAAACGAUUCAGAAGAUUGCUGAGUCAUGUGGGGACCAAGCGGCUCUCCAGUACGACGAAAAGUUUCGCCGUUGAAGACAAAAGGACCCAUCUGCGUGUCCUUGGCAAUACAAAAAUGCUGAGUUUUACCAGGAAGCCCUGGUCUUGGGACUGGGUUAUAAACUAAAAUCCAGAAAGCAGCAGCCCUUUCAUGCCCCCCCCCCCCCCCCUAAGCAUAGAUACUGCUGUGCAUACAACAAUCAUGGCACAUGUCCCAAACAUGAUGCCUGCUCCCACCCCCACGUUUGUCAAAUCUGUGCAGGUAAACACUGUCGCAAACUCUGCCCAAAAUUCAAACAAAAUAAACAAAAACAUAACACCCGCGAUAACAGUGUCAGUGCUUCCAAGCCCUCCACUACAAUUAGGAAGUAAAAUAACUACCCCUAUUCAACACACUAUGUUAGCUUACUAUUUAGAAGGGUAUGACCACACACUGUCUGAUGUUUUAAUACAAGGAUUUAAGUUUGGAUUCAAAAUCCCAUACCAAGGGCCAAGGCAAUUUUGUCUCCAUUAAAGGGAAAGAAUCUACCUUGGAUCAGAAAAUUCUAUUAGAACUGCAGAGCACUCGUAUAGCUGGUCCAUUCAUUGAACCCCCUUUCCCUAAUAUUCAAAUCUCACCGUUAGGCCUAGUUCCUUAAAACAUCACCAGGGAAAUAUCGUUUGAUACGUCACUUAUCAUUCCCAAACGGAGAAUCCAUUAACCACUACAUGUAUAUUCCCCAAGAGUUUUGUACGUUACAAUAUCAGUCAGUCCAAACAGCUAUUCAGAUCAUUAAACAAUUAGGAAGAGGUGCUCUUUUAGCCAAACCUGAUAUUGAGCAUGCAUACAAACAGGUUCCUAUACAUCCUGAUGACUUUGAACUCUUGGGUGUUAUGGUAAAUAAUCACUAUUAUUAUGAUAAGACUUUACCUUUUGGGCUUAGCUAUGCAUGCAAUUUGUUUUAAAAAAAAAUUAGUACUGCUCUUCAGUGGAUUUUACAAUCCAAAUUUUCUGUCUCCCAAUGCGUCCAUAUUUUGGAUGAUUUCCUCUUCCUAGGACCACCACACUCGCCGGAGUGCUACAGGGCGCUACUUGCUUUUCAUGUCUUAGCGAAUGAUAUAGGUCUUCCAAUUAAAACGCAGAAAACAGUAUAUCCAACUACCACAUUAACUUUUCUGGGUCUCGAGUUUGACACAGUGUGCUUUCAAGUUAGGUUACCACAGGACAAGUUAGACCAACUUCAGUCAGAGAUCAAAUAAUGUCUCAACAAAAAGUCCACCACGCUGCGGGAGCUCCAAUCGUUGAUUCGUAUGUUGAACUUCCCUUGCAAUGUAGUACCUCCGGGGCGCACAUUCUUACGAAGGCUUAUUAAUCUCACAAUUGGUCUCCAAAAACCAUAGAAAACUUAAUUUGGAAGCAAGGGAGACCUAAAAACUUGGGCUGUGUUUUUAGAACAUUUUAACGGCAAAGCAUUCUUCCCCUCUGGUACCACCCACUCAUCAUCCUCCCUACACCUUUUUACUGAUGCUAGCAAUUUAGCGUGGUACUUCACUCAGACAACUUAGCAGUAGUUCAAAUUAUUAACGAAAAUACAUCAAAAGACCCCAAACUUAUACAACUAAUGCGACGUCUAAUGAUUCUGUCUCUUACUCUUAAUAUGCAUUUCCAUGCUAAGCACAUUCAAGGGGUUGCCAAUAUAGCUGCAGAUUUACUUUCUCGGUUACAGGUCUCAGAAUUCAGAGCCAGGUUUCCUCACAUGGACAUCAACCACACACCAGUUCCUCUUUCCUUAGUAAGGAUUUAAGUCAAACUGCUGACUUGUUACUACGCAACUCACUCAGCAAAUCUACUUCCUUAGCUUACAAGUCAGUUUUCCAAACAUAUAGACAAUUUGUUGAGAUGUCUUUUCCUACUGAAUGCCCUCUCCCCCAUCCUUACAGUACCUCUCGGGGUUUAUCGCCAAUUGUUAUCUUAAGGGAUCGGCUGCUUUACUGUGCACACUUUCAUAUCUGCUCUAAGUUUUAUAUUUCAGCUAGGGGAUUUUGCAGAUAUCACACAUUUCAUUGUUAAAAAACUGUUACAAGGGUUCCAGAAAGUUAAACCAUCCUCAGAUACCAGGCUCCCCAUAACCCCCAAUAUCUUAAAAUCCCUCCUCCUGGCAUUGGAACACACUACAUCCUCUUUCUUCACUAAAUUGCUGUUAAGAGUUAUGUUCCUGGUAGCAUUCUGUGCAUUCCUACGGAUAGGGGAAACUACUAAAACCUCUGGCGCAACACAACACCACAUUUUAUUUAAAAACCUUGGACUAAAAUCAGAUGUACAACAUGAGCAGUACAUAGAAAUAAGCAUUCCCCAUGCAAAGUCCCCUACCUCUACUAUACGACUUCAUCAGAAUAAAACCAAUCCUGCCCGUAUAAGUCUCUGUUGCAAUACCUCGAGAUUAGGAAGCACGACUCACCAUACCAGCCACUAUUCUAUUUCAUGGAUGUUACCCCUCUGUCACGACAAUUUUUCACGGAACAACUUCGUUUAGCUCUAUCAUUUUGCAACCUUAACCUUCAUCACUAUCAAACUCACAGUUUCCGAAUUGGUGCUGCCACUACCGCGACUGCCCAAUGUUUUUCGGAACUCCAAAUACAGUACAUGGGGAGAUGGAAAUCCAAUGCUUUUAAGAAGUAUAUUCGAAUUCCUAUCUUAAAAAUCUGAGUAUCCGAUUUCUCUAUUAAACUACUUGGCAUCAAUUAGGAGCUGAUAACCAAUCCAUUACAGUUUAUGUACAUUUUUUGAUCAGUCAGGGGCUGAUACCUUAUGGCAUUUGCCAUCAGUCAGGGGCUGAUGACUAUGCUUCAUGUAUCCUGGAAAGGGCCCUUGUCACCAAUCAGGUUCGAUACCACUGCAUAUAAGUUAAGGACAUACUUGCCUGCAAUCAGGGUCUGAUGGCUUUUAGCAUAAUUUCCUUAUGAACACAUGCACCUUUUAUUGUUUAGUUUUGUUCUGUUUGUAUUGAUAAGUUCUGUUUGUGUUGACGAUGGGGGCGUUAACAAGCAAUAUUUGUAUAUCUCUGUCUCAUGUAUUCCCUUUCUACAAAUAUUGCCUGGCUUGUCAACAUGGCCUUUUAGCACCCCCUUUUCUGAUUUUUCCAAGUUGUACAUAUGUUUGGGUCUAUUUUUUAUAUGCCAAAUAUGCCAUAAUGUUUCACUGAUCAUAAUAUGUCAGAUGACACAUUUUUAUACGCCCGUCGAAAACGGGACGUAUUAUGGUAUGGCGUCGUCCGUCUGUCUGUCCGGACCUUGUGGGCAGGAUACAGACUGAACCAUAAGCCCUAGGGCUUUAUGACUUGGUACAUUUGAUCACCAUGAUGAGAGGAAGAUGCCUAUUGUUUUUCAAGGUGAGAGGUCAAAGGUCAAGGUUGUAGUAUCACUUAUUAGGAAAACUUUGUGGGCAGGAUACAAACCGAACCGUAAGCUCCAGGAUAUUAUAACUUGGUAUAUUUGAUCACCAUGAUGAGAGGAAGAUGCUAUUGUUUUUCAAGGUCAAGGUUGUAGUAUCACUUUUUAGGAAAACCUUGUGGACAGGAUACAAACCGAACCGUAAGCUCCAGGAUAUUAUAACUUGGUAUAUUUGAUCAUCAUGAUGAGAGGAAGGUGCCUAUUGUUUUUCAAGGUCAAAGGUCAAGGUCGUAGUAUCACUUAUUAGGAAAACCUUGUGGGCAGGAUACAAACCGAACCGUAAGCUCCUGGAUAUUAUAACUUGGUAUAUUUGAUCACCAUGAUAAUGAAUUAGCUCACAGAGUACAGUGCUAACUUCACUAAAAUAUUAAUCCCACUAAAAUAUGUUUUCCUUGAGCAAAAUCUACGGGUGUAUUAUGCCACGUUGGCGUUGCUCUUGUUUUUGUUCUCAGGUGCUAAUUUUGAGAUGUGGCAAUUUGUCAUUAUACAUUGUCAGUACAUUUUACUUGUAUGCAACUUUUACUUAUAUUUGAAUCCUAGUUUGUGUUCCCUUUACUAUCAUUUAUUGUAUACAUGUAUGUAAUAAAUGACCUAUUUUAUUAUUUAAA